CUGCGAAUGGCUCAUUAUAUCAGUUAUAGUUUAUUUGGAAUAGUUUCUAUAUGGAUAACCGUAGUAAUUCUAGGGCUAAUACAUGUGUUUUCUUUGAUGGGCAACCAUUAAAGAAGUACUUAUUAGACAUAAAACCAAUUUAAUGUUGUUGUGAGUAAUAAUAAUUGUUGACUUUAUCGCAUGCUUGUUAGUAGCGAUGUUCCUUUCAAGUUUCUGCCCUAUCAGCUUUCGAUGGUAGUGUAUUGGACUACCAUG
Molecule: ribosomal RNA, 255 nt
Filed under: Blastocystis sp.
Lineage: Eukaryota; Bigyra; Opalinata; Blastocystidae
Description: partial 18S ribosomal RNA
Rfam family: Eukaryotic small subunit ribosomal RNA
Source: RNAcentral